This 783-nucleotide ribosomal RNA is filed under the name uncultured archaeon. RNAcentral describes it as "bacterial SSU rRNA". It matches the Rfam family "Archaeal small subunit ribosomal RNA", at positions 1 to 763 of the family's 1478-position model. The record is from RNAcentral.
UCCGGUUGAUCCCGCCGGACCCCACUGCUAUCGGGAUAGGACUAAGACAUGCUAGUUGAGCGCUUCCAGCCAAUACGGGAGCGCAGCGCACAGCUCAGUAACACGUGGCUAAUCUGCCCUUGGGACCGGAACACCCCCGGGAAACUGGGGCUAAUUCUCGAUAGGUGAAGAACUCUGGAAUGAGUCUUCGCUUAAAAGACGUUUACGUUAUGCUCGUAGGCGUCGCCCAAGGAUGAGGCCGCGACCGAUCAGGUUGUUGGUGAGGUAAUGGCUCACCAAGCCUUUUACCGGUGCGGGCCGUGAGAGCGGGAGCCCGGAGAUGGGCACUGAGACAAGGGCCCAGGCCCUACGGGGCGCAGCAGUCGCGAAAACUUUGCAAUACACGAAAGUGUGACAGGGCUAUCCCGAGUGCCAUCCGCUGAGGAAGGCUUUUACCCAGUCUAGAACGCUGGGGGAAUAAGGAGAGGGCAAGUCUGGUGUCAGCCGCCGCGGUAAUACCAGCUCUCCGAGUGGUGUGGAUGUUUAUUGGGCCUAAAGCAUCCGUAGCUGGCUGAGUUAGUCCCUUGUUAAAUCCACCGAAUUAAUCGUUGGAUUGCGUGGGAUACUGCUCGGCUAGGGGACGAGAGAGGCAGACGGUAUUUCCGGGGUAGGGGUGAAAUCCUAUAAUCCCGGGAAGACCACCAGUGGCGUAGCUGUCUGCUAGAACGCGCCCGACGGUGAGGGAUGAAAGCUGGGGGAGCGAACCGGAUUAGAUACCCGGGUAGUCCCAGCUGUAAACGAUGC